UACGGGGGGAGCAAGCGUUGUUCGGAUUUACUGGGCGUAAAGGGCGCGUAGGCGGCCACCGCAAGUCAAUUGUGAAAUCUCCGGGCUUAACUCGGAAAGGUCAACUGAUACUGCGGGGCUAGAGUGCGGAAGGGGCAACUGGAAUUCUCGGUGUAGCGGUGAAAUGCGUAGAUAUCGAGAGGAACACCUGCGGCGAAGGCGGGUUGCUGGGCCGACACUGACGCUGAGGCGCGAAAGCUAGGGGAGCGAACG
This 252-nucleotide ribosomal RNA is filed under the name uncultured prokaryote. Its description in RNAcentral is "partial 16S ribosomal RNA". It matches the Rfam family "Bacterial small subunit ribosomal RNA", at positions 524 to 774 of the family's 1533-position model. The record is from RNAcentral.